CAAUAAGCGGAGGAAAAGAAACUAACAAGGAUUCCCCUUAGUAACUGCGAAGUGAAAGCGGGAAAAGCUCAAAUUUAAAAUCUGGUGGUCUUUGGCCAUCCGAGUUGUAAUCUAGAGAAGUGUUACCCGCGUCGGACCGUGUACAAGUCUCCUGGAAUGGAGCGUCAUAGAGGGUGAGAAUCCCGUCUUUGACACGGACCCCCGAGGCUUUGUGGUGCGCUCUCAACGAGUCGAGUUGUUUGGGAAUGCAGCUCAAAAUGGGUGGUAAAUUCCAUCUAAAGCUAAAUAUUGGCGAGAGACCGAUAGCGAACAAGUACCGUGAGGGAAAGAUGAAAAGAACUUUGGAAAGAGAGUUAAACAGUACGUGAAAUUGCUGAAAGGGAAACGCUUGAAGUCAGUCGCGUUGUCCGGAAAUCAGCCUUCCUUUUGGUUGGUGUACUUUCUGGUUGACGGGCCAGCAUCAGUUUUGACCGGUGGAUAAAGUUGUAGGGAAUGUGGCAUCUUCGGGUGUGUUAUAGCCCUGCUUCGUAUACAUCGGUUGGGACUGAGGAACUCAGCACGCCGCAAGGCCGGGAUUCGUCCACGUUCGUGCUUAGGAUGCUGGCAUAAUGGCUUUAAUCGACCCGUCUUGAAACACGGACCAAGGAGUCUAACAUGCCUGCGAGUGUUUGGGUGGAAAACCCGAGCGCGUAAUGAAAGUGAAAGUCGAGAUCCUUGUCAUGGGGAGCAUCGACGCCCGGACCUGAAGUUUACGGACGGUUCUGCGGUAGAGCAUGUAUGUUGGGACCCGAAAGAUGGUGAACUAUGCCUGAAUAGGGUGAAGCCAGAGGAAACUCUGGUGGAGGCUCGUAGCGAUUCUGACGUGCAAAUCGAUCGUCAAAUUUGGGUAUAGGGGCGAAAGACUAAUCGAACCAUCUAGUAGCUGGUCUGU
This 931-nucleotide ribosomal RNA is filed under the name Ephemerocybe callina. Its description in RNAcentral is "LSU rRNA". It matches the Rfam family "Eukaryotic large subunit ribosomal RNA", at positions 44 to 959 of the family's 3401-position model. Lineage: Eukaryota; Fungi; Basidiomycota; Agaricomycetes; Agaricales; Psathyrellaceae. The record is from RNAcentral.